GUGAAUCAUCAAAUCUUUGAACGCAAAUUGCACUCUCUUCUGAGAGUAUGCCUGUUUGAGGGUGAGACUAAAAAAAAUCGACAUAUUCGCUGUUUCGCGGUUACAUUCGUCGUAAAGUGGGGUAUCUUAUACCUUGUGGUUUUAAGCGGCUUAAAAUUUUCUUUACUAUUCCACGAACGUUUCUAAGAUUUACUUACACGUUUAUGUUAUCGA
Molecule: unclassified non-coding RNA, 213 nt
Filed under: Glomus sp.
Lineage: Eukaryota; Fungi; Glomeromycota; Glomeromycetes; Glomerales; Glomeraceae
Description: partial contains 5.8S ribosomal RNA and internal transcribed spacer 2
Rfam family: 5.8S ribosomal RNA (bases 1-65)
Source: RNAcentral